GGAAAAAAAGCUUGAUAGGAAAUGAUUAAGCCUUGAUUGUACUAAAUGAAUAAGUGACAGCUAACUAUGUGCCAGCAGCUGCGGUAAAACAUAGGUCACGAGCAUUAUCCGGAUUUAUUGGGCGUAAAGGAAGCGUAGGCGGACAAAUUGAUCUAUUGUUAAAGGCACUUGCUCAACGAGUUGUUUGUGAUAGAUAUCGUUUGUCUAGAAUUAGUUAGGAGAUACUGGAAUUCAAUGUGUAGCGGUGGAAUGCGUAGAUAUAUUGAGGAACACCGGAGGCUAAGGCGAGUAUCUAGGACAUAAUUGACGCUGAGGCUUGAAAGCGUGGGGAGCAAAUGGGAUUAGAUACCCCAGUAGUCCACGCCGUAAACGAUGGGUAUUAGGUAUUUGGUCUAGGACUGAGUGCUGUAGCUAACGCGUUAAAUACCCCGCCUGGGUAGUAUAUAUGCAAAUAUGAAACUCAAAGAAAUUGACGGGGACCUGA
RNAcentral lists this ribosomal RNA (484 nucleotides) under Candidatus Mycoplasma haematominutum. Its description in RNAcentral is "bacterial SSU rRNA". It matches the Rfam family "Bacterial small subunit ribosomal RNA", at positions 443 to 924 of the family's 1533-position model. The record is from RNAcentral. Lineage: Bacteria; Bacillati; Mycoplasmatota; Mollicutes; Mycoplasmatales; Mycoplasmataceae.